RNAcentral lists this ribosomal RNA (242 nucleotides) under uncultured Staphylococcus sp. Its description in RNAcentral is "partial 16S ribosomal RNA". It matches the Rfam family "Bacterial small subunit ribosomal RNA", at positions 98 to 334 of the family's 1533-position model. Lineage: Bacteria; Bacillati; Bacillota; Bacilli; Caryophanales; Staphylococcaceae. The record is from RNAcentral.
GCGGACGGGUGAGUAACACGUGGAUAACCUACCUAUAAGACUGGGAUAACUUCGGGAAACCGGAGCUAAUACCGGAUAAUAUAUUGAACCGCAUGGUUCAAUAGUGAAAGACGGUUUUGCUGUCACUUAUAGAUGGAUCCGCGCCGCAUUAGCUAGUUGGUAAGGUAACGGCUUACCAAGGCAACGAUGCGUAGCCGACCUGAGAGGGUGAUCGGCCACACUGGAACUGAGACACGGUCCAG